CAUUUUUAAUAGGGUUAUUUGAUUCUCUAGAGUCUAACUUUGUGAGUUCUUUGUAUAUUUUAGAUAUUAGCCUUCUAUCAGAUGUAGGAUUGGUAAAUGUCUUUUCCCAAUCUGUUGGUUGCCAUUUUGGCCUAUUGACAGUGUCCUUUGCCUUACAGAAGCUUUGUAGUUCUAUGAGGUCCCAUUUGUCAAUUGUUUAUCUUAGAGCCUGAGCCAUUGGUGUUCUUUUUGGGAAAAUUUCCCCUGUGCUGAUGUGUUUGUGGCUAUUUCCCACUUUCUCUUCUAUUAGACUUGGUGUAUCUGGUUUUAUGUGGGGGUCUUUGAUCCACUUGGUCUUGAACACUGUACAAGGAAAUUAAUAUGGAUCAAUUUGCAUUCACCUACAGGCAGACUGCCACUUAGAUGGGCACCAUGUGUUGAAUAUGCUGUCUUUUUCCCCACUGUAUAGUUUUGGAUUCUUUGUCAAAGAUCAAGUGGCCAUAGGUGUGUGGGUUUAUUUCUGAGUCUUCAAUUCUAUUCCACUGAUCAACCUGUCUGUCUCUGUACCAAUACCAUGCUGUUUUUAUCACUAUUGUUUUGUAGUACAGCUUGAGGCCAGGGAUGGUGAUUUCUCCAGAAACUCUUGUAUUGUUGAGAAUUGUUUUUGCUAUCUUGGGUGGAUUCCAUAUGAAGUUGAGAAUCGCUCUUUCUAUCUAUGUGAAGAAUUGAGUUGGAAUUUUGAUGGGGAUUGCACAGAAUCUGUAGAUUGCU
This 750-nucleotide long non-coding RNA is filed under the name Rattus norvegicus (Norway rat). Its description in RNAcentral is "long non-coding RNA NONRATT016534". The record is from RNAcentral. Lineage: Eukaryota; Metazoa; Chordata; Mammalia; Rodentia; Muridae.